Molecule: non-coding RNA, 160 nt
Filed under: bovine gut metagenome
Source: RNAcentral
UUUGGUUCGUUGUAAACGAUGAAAAGGGAACUCGGGUGCAAGUCCCGGACAGUCCCGCUGCUGUAAGCCCCGCAGUGUCGUUGCUCUUGUAAGCCACUGUCAUUUAAUAUGAUGGGAAGGCGAGUAACGACGGGGUAAGUCAGAAGACCUGCCAAGUCCG